This 253-nucleotide ribosomal RNA is filed under the name uncultured bacterium. Its description in RNAcentral is "partial 16S ribosomal RNA". It matches the Rfam family "Bacterial small subunit ribosomal RNA", at positions 524 to 776 of the family's 1533-position model. The record is from RNAcentral.
UACGGAGGGUGCAAGCGUUGCUCGGAAUUAUUGGGCGUAAAGGGCAGGUAGGUGGUCUGAUUUGUCUGGGGUGAAAUCCUUGGGCUUAACUCAAGAAGUGCCCCAGAAACGGUCAGACUAGAGUGCUGGAGAGGCAAGCGGAAUACCCGGUGUAGCGGUGAAAUGCGUAGAGAUCGGGUGGAACACCAGAGGCGAAGGCGGCUUGCUGGACAGUGACUGACACUCAACUGCGAAAGCGUGGGGAGCAAACAGG